UAUUUUGUUACGGUUUCAUAUUUACCUUUCGUCUAUUAACCAUGGAAUUUAUUGAGAGAACAGUUAAGAAUUUUUCUAAUGUUACGAAAGUAAGCAGAAGUAAACGUAUAUGUUUAGGGCACAGAUAGUGCCAGCAGCCGCGGUCAUACUAUCUCUAGAGAGUAAAUAGUAAAUAGUUAUAUAAUAUUAAUUUCUUUAUACCUUUUUAGUGAAAUAUAUUGUAUUAUAAAAUUUAUAAUUAAUAAAUAAAUUUAAGUAAGACAUACCACAAACAAGGAUUAGAUACCCUUCUAUGAUGUAUAUAAAAUAAUAUAACUGGGUAUUAAAGUAUUAUUACCUAAACCUAAAAAACAUGGCGGUAAUUUUAAUUCUUAGGGGAACUUACCUAUUAAAUUGAUAACCACCAAGAAAAGUCGCUUUAGGUAAAAUUUUGUAUGCCGUCGUCUAGAAUAAAUAUUAUAUUUAUUCAAAAUUUACAUUUAUAAGAAGACAGAUCUAGGUGCAGAUAAUCCUAAAGGUUAGGCGAGUUACAAUAAGAAUUUAUAAUUCUAUUUGUUCUAGUAAAGAACUUUAAAAUAGUUGGACUUAAAAGUAAGAAGUUUAUUAUACUUAUUAUCUGAAUAUAAAUUGAAAUUGUGC
RNAcentral lists this ribosomal RNA (639 nucleotides) under Noricella scheerpeltzi. RNAcentral describes it as "partial 12S ribosomal RNA". The record is from RNAcentral. Lineage: Eukaryota; Metazoa; Mollusca; Gastropoda; Stylommatophora; Hygromiidae.